CUAGUACGAGAGGACCGGGAAGGACGCACCUCUGGUGUACCAGUUAUCGUACCUACGGUAAACGCUGGGUAGCCAAGUGCGGAGAGGAUAACUGCUGAAAGCAUAUAAGUAGUAAGCCCACCCCAAGAUGAGUGCUCUCUCCUCCGACUUCCCUAGAGCCUCCGGUAUCACAGCCGAGACAGCGACGGGUUCUCCACCCAU
RNAcentral lists this ribosomal RNA (201 nucleotides) under Triticum aestivum (bread wheat). RNAcentral's name for it is "partial small subunit ribosomal RNA". The stretch from base 1 to 137 matches the Rfam family "Bacterial large subunit ribosomal RNA", at positions 2678 to 2813 of the family's 2925-position model. Lineage: Eukaryota; Viridiplantae; Streptophyta; Magnoliopsida; Poales; Poaceae. The record is from RNAcentral.